UGUGUGGGCAACGCUGCCGUGUACUGGAUCUCCUCCCAUCCCCGUUGAUAUGGCUGUUACUAAAGAGGUGUAACUAAAACAACAUUUGUGUACUGAAACCACAUACGUGUGGUGAAAGAGACUUUGAAAAGACACAAGAGGACGGAAAUCAGGAAAAUGUUUUGCCUCAGCUUUGUGCCAAAACAACACAAGACAGCUGCUGAAACUUCUGUGGAUUAUGGAGGAGUGGAGGCAGUAUGACAGCGAAACACCCAUGAGAAGAAGCAUCCUAUGAAAAGAAAAAGAAGAAUAUCUAACCUAACUGAGGAAGUUAAACCGUAAGAGAUGGACCUGUCUUGAUAUCUGCGUUGGGAAAGGAGAUAAUGGAAAAAGAUUGGAAUUUCAAAAAGCAGAGAGAAACAACCAUAACAGGAGUGUCGAGGGGUGACGUGCUUCACACACCGCUAGUUUCUUCUGUUGCGGUCUCCAGUCUGUUAUUAAAGCAACACCAUCCCUAUUUAGUGGAUUAUAUUGUUGUGUUUACAAACACCAAUGCUUUUCUGUGACUUCUGGAUUUGAUACAAAGCAGUUCUGUUCCUAAAUGUCUCAGUCACAUAAUCAGAAAGACAGUCAGGGCAUGCUGCAGUCCAUGCUGCAGAGACUGAAGCUCCAGCCGGGAAAAGAGGGCCAGGCAUACCUGCAAACACCUGUACCCACCACAGCUGCUUCCACAUGGGGGCAAGACGGCAAGAGAGGAGCCUUCAACCUCCAGAAAGUAAACAGCAGUAUUGGAAAUAGCUUUGAGUUUGGAACUAAUGGUAUCUCCUCAAAAGAGUUUGGGAUCUCUGCUGCAAGCAGUAACUUUGGGGAAAUACAGCAACCAGGACAUGGCUGUGAAGUGGACAGUCAGCUCAUUUCCUUCCCCUCGCAGAAAGACAACAUUGAUGGUGAGACGGGUGAGGAAAGGGCAGCUCAGCCUGUGAUCACCCCGACAGAAACAGGGCAGCUGUUUCCUGUUGAAUCACUUAAGGAUGCUGAUAUCGCUUCCUUUAAGAGGACUGAUGGGGCGAGGGUGAGUUUUGACAAUUCUGCAAUGACAAGGCCUAGCAAUAAAGAUUCUGUCCCAAGCAUGGGACAGAAUCAUGACCAGGACCAGAGUUUUACACCCAAAGUCUACGUGUGGUCCUCGAAGCCCACAGAUGCAAAUGUUAAAGGUCAAGAGAAUGAACUGUUGCAUACGGGAAACGGAGGAUUUGGAGCUUUGGCACAAAGUAAAGACUUGCAGAUUGUUCCGGUAAACAGCAGCUCGAGAAGAAAAUCAGGAUCGUCUGAGAACAAAACAAGGAGAUGGACUCAGAAGAUCAAGGAGAGAUGGAACAGGCCAGGGAGUUUUGGUAGAAAGGAAAAAGAAGAAGGAGGGAGAGUAGACCAGAAGAGUGAGCAAGGAACUGACAUUUCACCUCAAAACCAGCUGUUGACAACAGAAAAUCUCAUCAACACAUCAAAUAUGGAGGAAGAAAGGACCCUCCCAUCACUCGACAGCAGAGAUCCCAGUGCCACCCCUCCUACACACACAGAAGACGGCACUAAUGAAGGAUAUAUGAGGUCCACCAGAGACUUUGAGUUCGGCCUGGGCUCGUUUAGCUUGCUGGAGGAGAUCGUCACCGGUCAAGAGUGGGCGAACUUCCUAAACCCCAACCAAUCAGCCGCCUCAGCCAAUCAGAGACCAUCAGAACUCAAAAUCCCACCAAAUCCUCGUGAUGGUCAUUCAUCUCUGAUUUUGAACCAACAAGGAGGUGUUGACAACCGGUGGAGCUUCAGGGGAACUGAGACUUCACCAGAUUUAGAUUUCAGCAUGACACAAAUAUCGCCUGAUGCUUUCCAAGCUGUGGGUAUGGACGUUUCAGAAGGAACACCGGCUGCAGUACGGGAUGUUCUCAGUGCGGCUGAUCAAUUAGAACCAAUGGAGCAUGGACAAACCCGGAGACCUCCUUUUGUACAGUAUGCAGAUAUUAUGGUCAACUCAGCGCUGAAGAGCAGAGUCCAGCUCAACAGGAAGAGACAGCAUCAGUCAGCUGAUAGAAGAGACGAGAGGCUUCAAGCAGACAAAAUAAGUGACGGAAAAGAGGCAGGCAGAGAGGGUAGCCUAACAAGCAACCAUGUGAUGGAGGAGACUGGAGAGUCACAAAAUGAUAACUUCAUGCCUUUGAACAUCCUGAAAUCCCCUCCUCCACCUCUCUCUCCAUUUACUCCCUUUGCUCCUGCCUUCCGGGGUGUUCUCAAACACUCCAUAUCCCAGGAUUCACAGUUCUCAAUAGAAACACAGACAAAAAGAAGGCGAGUCGAGGAGAACCAGCGGGUUCGUUUCUCAGACGAGGUGGUGAUCAUCGAGCCUCCGGAGCUGCAUCCGGAUGCUACAGACUCAGAGGAGGAUUCAGGAUCAGAGGAGGACUCUGUGAUAGAGCAGGAGUGUGACGAGGAGCAGGCGGCGAUAGAGGAGGUGGCAGCACCAGCACGCCGGCAUGCUCUCCCUGCCUGGAUACUGGCUCUGAAGAGGAGGAACACGGGGAGGAGGCACAGAUAGGGAGUGUACAACUCCAAGAACGAGCAUUUAGUCUCACAGACUUGUCUUUCUUCAAAUCGUUUCUAGAGUCCUCUCUGGACACUUAAAGCACCUCUGUGUGUCUUAUUGCUCCUCGUCCCUCUUCGCAUCACCGGCGCUCAAAAGGAUGAUUGAUCAAGUGCUGAUAUCAGCCUAUUUUAAAACUUUGAAAACACAGCCAGAAUUGUAUUUGCUUUUAAGGGAUACUUUGAAUGGUUUGAAGUUUGGUUGUCUGAGGUACUGAGGUCGACACGCCAUCGGUUUGGAGAAACAGACAGGAGUUACGGCACGGAAACAAAGCAAUGUACUGCUGUGGACGGGGGCAGCAGCAAAAUGUAUUUCAGCCCCCUAAAAGAAAGGCCUACGUAAAGAAAACCAAUAUCAGUUUAAGUGUAUGUUGUAUUUAGGAUAUUAUAUAACACAGGGAUCUGAAGUCGUUAUAUUCAUCUCUCGCCAAAGCCACCAGACUACAGUACCGUAUAUUGAAACAAACGGUAAAGUUAAAGGUAAAAUGACUGUUUUUGUCCAUGAGUCUGGUGCCUUUGGCCUAGAUGAAUAUAACGGAUCAGAUCACCGUUGACAAGAGCUUGUAGGUGGACCUUUUUUCUGAGGUGGCUAAAAUACGCUUUGUUGCUGCCUCUGUCUACUUCAGCACAUUUCUUUGCUCCUGUGCCGUAACUCCUGUCUGCUUCCCCAGACUGGGGGCCUGCUGACCUUCGUCUACUGUGGUAAUACACUGACUAUGGAUAAGUACCUCAUACAACACCACUUCAAACUAUCCAAAAUAUCCCUUUAACUGUUUUUUUCCACGCUCUCCUCUCUGUCUGUCUAAAUAGACUGGACUAUACACUGUCAGUGUCUCGUCAUCUGCUUAAGUGUUUAUUGGAUUUGGUUGUAAAUUUUCUUCCACCAGCUUUUACAGCUUUUUUCCAGAGAUGUUAUGUUUUCCUCCUCCUCUUUCUCCUCCUUCAAUCUCACACUGGCCAGCAGCAGACUCUCUUGGUAAUGUUCUCUCUUUCCGGCCGUCCUGGGAAAUUAGGAGGAAAGGGAGGUGGAGCUAAAGCAGUGGCUGCAGUUAUUGCAGUUAUGGUUGUUUGUGAUAGUCUGCAGCUCUUGAAAUGUUGAAACCUUAUUUUGAAGCCAUUUGCUUGCUGGAGACAGAAAGAAACUACCAUCAUCGUUCAGGACUCACAUCAGUCAUCACUUAUAGGAUAGUACACCCUGAACAUAUUAUCAGCAUCUGUUUAAAUGAGCUACAAUGAUGCUUCCUAUGAGUGUAGCAGCGUGGGAGACAGUGGAGCUACGAGACAAACAUUAAAGGAAUAGUUCGACAUUUUGGGAAAUACGCUUGUUUGCUUUCUGUGCUAGAUUAAAAGAUUGAUACCAUUCAUGUCUGUAGUGUAUGCCACUGGCUGGCUGCCUGGUAAGCUACUACUACUACUCUGCUACAUCAACACCCAUACACCUGCACUGUCAUUUUUACACUUUGUUUUUGUAUGCAUUAAACAAUUGAGAUAUAAUAUGAUAUUUUAGCUGUUUUCCCAUUCAGUUUUUGUGCUAAGCUAAACUAACUGGCUAACAGGACUGUAGCUUUAUAUUUACAGUAUAAUAGACUUGAGAAUGGUAUCCUUCUUCUCUUCUACCUUAAAGUUACCAUCCGACCAUCUUGUUAUCCUGGACAGGGGUGCUGGAAAAUGUGUGUGUUUGUCUGUAUUGUCCCCUGGAAAUGAAAAACUAGAGAACAUAUUUAAAAAGGAAACGUCCUCCAGCUACCUCAUUUUCCCAGUUACAUUUAUUAAUUCUUCUAAAUAGGGAUCCUCUGAAGAAAUGACAUUAUCUGCUAUCUCAUGUUUUAUAAAUGCAGAACUCCGUGCACACACACAUCCAGUCAUUUGUUCAUCCUGUCCGAGCUUUGCUUUGCUUUAAAGAGCGACCACAGGCAACAUUCAGAAAGACAGAGUACUUCAUGGCGCUGUGUAUCAUAUUCUUUUGUUACCAUUACAGGCAUUAAAAUGAUUUGUAUGAUUAAAUUAGUACAUCAAACGUUGUGGCUAACUGCUGUCAAUUCCUCCUUCACAGCUAUCUUCUCUCGUAAAUCACUGUCAGAGCCAUUAAGAGGCUCUUUAGCUGAUCGAUUAGUGCCCUGGUCACAGCUUAUAGUGAAACGGGGGGAAGUACUAAAAUGUACAGUAUGUGAGCAAAACAUUAUGUCAAUGUCUGAGAUGAAAACGUGGG
This is a long non-coding RNA of Cottoperca gobio, 4816 nucleotides long. Ensembl lists it as uncharacterized. The record is from Ensembl. NCBI's taxonomy places the organism in Eukaryota, Metazoa, Chordata, Actinopteri, Perciformes, Bovichtidae.